This 11436-nucleotide long non-coding RNA is filed under the name Ooceraea biroi (clonal raider ant). Its description in RNAcentral is "uncharacterized LOC109610858". Lineage: Eukaryota; Metazoa; Arthropoda; Insecta; Hymenoptera; Formicidae. The record is from RNAcentral.
CGAUUGGAACAAACUGACACUACAGCCAUCUGUUGCAAAACCCUCAAAACUAAAUCACACUCCUAAUAUUUGCGAGCCACCCCUUACCGCAAAGUAAAAAUCAUGAUCGACGGGAAGAGCAACAAACGGGCUGUUGUACCUUUUUUCACGGUGAAAGAGGGAAAGUCUCACGGCUGUUUGUCGGAAUAAUGUACAUGAAAAUUGUGCCCGCGCAAUUUCCAUGAUAUUUUCGAUCGUAAAUCCUAAUAGCUGAAACGCCGUUGCAGCGCCGGUGCACGCGGUACUUUAUGUAUGAGAAACGCUUUAGCUACCGAGAUAUCGUUGAAGGAUACUUUUGCGAGAUCACGGUAGAAUAUCGCGACGUGCGGGGAAUCAUUAGCGCAACUUCCGUUAUCCACGCCCGCAAAUUACCAUAAAACGGAUACGCUUGUGUACGCGCAUGUACCGCUUACUCGCCGUAGUCGAGCACCGUGGCUUAAUAUCGGCGACAAGGGAGAAAAAGCUCAAGCUUCAGUAAGCUCGUUAGACUGCUUACGCGGGAGAGCAAUGAAUCUUUCGCGAACGACUGGCGAGUUGUUAUUGCGGCCUCUCUUACGGCCACUUCACCGAAUGAAAGGAGUGCACGCCAUCAUAUUUCUUUCGCGCUAUUCCUGUCGCGGACAGGGCAAAAACUCGGGUGUCGGUCCACCGAGCGAGUUAAUGUAUCUUUAAUAUCGCGAGGCGCGGGAUCGGGAGAAUAAAAGCGGCGGUAGAGGGGAUGGGAGAGGAGAUUAUUUAUCGGACGCAGCGCGCUCCGCUACGCCAAAGAGUGCAGCGACUUUUGUUGCUCUCAGCGUGGAAACCUCCGGUUUUCUGCCCAUCGUGAGUGCUAGCGUAGUCAUGCGGACGAAAUUAAAUGUUAUACGAUUCGCUUGUCCGUUAAUUAACUCGAGGUGAACUCUAUUUUAGCGGACUGCGCCUCGCCUCGCUGCUCGGUUAUCGGGAUAUUUAAUACCGCGGGUUAAAAAGUCACGCGGAAGUCAGGGAGACUUACCUUUGAGCUCGGCAAAUAACUGGCGAGAAAUUGCACGUGUGUGACAAAUCGCUGACGAAACGAGGAGACUUUUGCUGAACGUCGCUGAUGAAGAUGCGUCAUGUAGCUUUCUUUGAUCUCCCCCCCGCAGCUUCUCGAAGUCAUCUUGACCCAGAACGCGCGUGCAAACACUUUCUUGGAUUUAAAGACUUCCAUCGGAAUUCGGAAAUCCCGAAAUUCGGACGUUCCACUGAUUUCCUUGCACACUGCAUCUUGACAUCAUUUCCAUCGCCAGCUUUUCAGUGUUUCAGCUCACGGAUCGACCGAUCUUGCCUGAUUAUCUUGCCUGAACGUGCGACGGAUAAUUCCAUUGUUUCAGAACAGAAUGUGCGCUCGGUGAAUCCGAUAGUUCCACUCUUGCGGAAUACAGUCACACGAAAGGCAACAGCACGAAAAUUUCCAAAUGACAAGCCAUCUGUCACAUGCAUGGAAAUGACGAUAGUCUAUUCCGGAACACGCUUCUGCCGGAUCCGUUACUUGAGCAGAUUGCAUCAUCGGUUUUGCUGUGCGGAAAGUGCAUCUCGGGAUUUCCAGGAGAUCGUUUAAAGACAGGUUCUUGAGAUGGAGCGGUGUUUUCCUUAAUGAAACCGCCUGGAGAGUGACAGAUCCAUUAAUCGGAAUUUCUGAAUUUUCAACGGUAAAUUACUCCGCACGGAUAAUCCUCCAACGGAAUUUGCCUCGCGCGCACUUCGUCCAAUUCAACGUUCGUGAUUCAUUAGUAACGGUGAAUCGAAGUUCAUCGAAAGACAAGAUUUUGUUACCCAUUUGCGGAUUUAUCUCUCCGGCUUCGUUCGCCGCUUGAUUUCGGAACGUCGGUCUCUUCUCUCGUUAAACCGAAAAGUCGAUUCUCCGCGCUCGGCGCCCUCCGGAUCCGGAAAUCGAGGAACGUUUCGACGGUCUCGGAAGGACUCGGCAGUUUUAUUUCGCUCUGACGUUCGCCAUCCAUCGAUUUCAGCAUGUUAGAAAUGGUCAUAGCUCCAAGAUCAAAGAAAAUUUGAAUUUUCUAUGGCACGCGCGAAUUUCCUAUCGCGCAGCGUCGAGAAUCAUAUAAAAUAUCGAUGAUAAAUAAAACACCAAGGUCGUCAAACGUACAAACACUACGAUACCUGGGCAGCCAUACGUCCUCCACCUCCGUUCACCUCUAUAUGGAACAUUUAAUUUCCACGAGUCACGUGAUCACGCGAGCCCUUUGACGCAACCUCGCCUGAAAGGUAGCGAAAUUCGUAUAAGCCCUGUGGCUCCGGUCAUUUCGCCCUGCCCCCACCCCCAAGCAAACCGCGGGAGAACCGCACAUGAGGAAAAAACAUGAAGAUCUUAGUGAACGAUAAGAAAAGCUCGAAGUCGUUCGUUAACCGAAGCGUUCGUUGAUAAAAGCUGUAAAGAAUUCUGCAUAUCGACUGCCAGCUAAAAUUCCUGAAGUUUCUUUGACGUUAUAUGCACGCAAUAUUACUCACUAUGUAUUGAUUAUGUUGCAGUUUAUAAUUAUUCGUACUUACGUCAAAAGAGUCGGCUUUGUUUUGAUUUUCAAGAUAGAUGGAAGGAUUUAAAAAAUUGAGGACCAAAUCAUUUUCUCAAAUUCCGCUGGUAUUUUCUUCUCCGUAAUUCCUCUUUAUUUUCCUCUUUCCUGCUCCAGGCACUAGGAUUAUGAGAAGUGGAGGAUGUUAAUUAAAUAAAUAGUUAAAAAUUAAGAAUAAUAUAAAUUGAGACGUACAUUGUACACAACUGUAAAUUUGCAGACUGGACUUCCAUGGUCGAUAAAGUUCGCCGAUAAAUUUUGUAUGCUUUAUGACGACUGUGUGUAUUUAUUUAUGCUUUUGAACGUUAGUUACGGCUGGGCCUGCGCAGCUGGUUAUUUGUUAUUCCACUGUAACAAUUGCGUCCGCGUAGUGAAAAUCAAUAAAAUUUUAUGGCGUGCUAAAGAGAAACGAUACGAAUCUCUUUAAUCUGGUCGAAGAACGAUAAGGUUGAGCACGCAUCGGGCAAUUUCUUUCAUGAGCGAUAAACUAUCGUUCAUCAUAUUUCCGUUAAUGCGGUCGGAUCCGCCCGCCUCGGUCGCAUUUGUCUUUGUCACAGACAUUCCUUUUCUUGGGACUUAGGCCGUCAUGUAUCUUCAAACACAAUAAUCCACGAAAUUAAUACGCUGCGAUUAAAGUAGGCCGUAUUUACGGUUAAAUUAACAUUAAUUCGUCGCAGUAUCAAUCCCGCUUCGCAAUUGCGGUUAACGCUGCUGGUGACGUCUGACAUUUGGACUUGGAGGAUACCUCCACGUGCAAACGAACGUCAAAAGUCGCCGUCCCAUCAAAUGAAUCGCUAUCAUUCUUUCUACUCUAUGUGAUCAUAUCAUUUCGAUCAAAACUGAUAAUGUCAAAACGUAGCAGCAUGUCGAAAUUUAAACUGAAUUACUUCCCCUUAAUUUCCACUUAAAAACACGUUCGGCGACGUUAUAAAAUGCCAUUAAUUUUUAUGUGAAAAUUGCAUGUAGUAGCAUUAAUAUUACUUGACUUUAUUCCUUUCUCUUUCUUUUUUUAAAUUAAAUUACUUCAUUUCACUCCGUUUUAUGCAAAUUGUCGUACAACAGGACGAGUCGCACGACAGCGGAUUCUGUUACGAAAUUCGAGCAAAUUCCUCUUUGAGAGACUUUAACUGCGACGAAAUUUUCAACGUAAACCGGUAAACCUGCAUUAAAUUUCGGUAGAAUUAUGUCACGGUUACAUGAGCCUUCCUUUAACAAAACGAGACUUUUUCGCGGGGGAUAUUUAAUGUUAUACUCAAAAAGAUUCCGGGAUCUCCGUUAAUGAGACCAUUAAGGGCAACACGCCGGCGGCUCCGGAUUCGCGAUAAAAAAGAAUGGGCACCCUAUUUACGCCCCCGCGUAGGGCGAAUGACGACAACGGUGGCGGUUCACGUUUCAUAAUUUACAUUCGCAGCGCGUUCCGUUUUCCACAAAUCGAUAAAUGCACUCCCGAAGACAUUUCAGGCGCUUAGCGCAACGAGAGGGCGACCGCUCGUAAAAGAAGUUCGACAUUUUCACGGGCUGCAGCCCGCAGUCGCGCGUCACUGAUGAUGCGCUCAGAAUUAGCAGCGACAGCAGCAGUAGCAGCAGCAGCAGAAAUUUAUCACUAGCACGGCAUCUGCACGCGAUACGAACCAUCGAUAUAACUUAUCCGUGUGCCGCGGCAAAGUGUGUCAUAGGAAUAUGCAGUUAACGUGAUAAAGCGCAAAGGGUGGUUGUUAUUUCGCGGCGUUUCCCAGAGACGCGCGUCCACGUCGCACGAACGGCCACCCUCGAUGGGCACUGCGGCGAGGUUCGCUGAAAAUUAACGUCCGUGCUCCGUUUUUCCCUCGUGUUCGUACUUUGCGAGGGCCGAAGGGAGGCAGAAUGCGAGACGGCGGAACUCGCGCACGGGCAAACUUCUGUUCUCUCGCUUCUGUUCUUUUGUUCGUUCCUUUUCUUCGUUCUCAAUCUACCUGUUUUUCCCCUUUCGGAACGUAUAAUUCACCGCGCCGACGCGAUAACAGGAGAUGCUGUAAGGAACAGUCUCGCGUAAAAUGCCGUUUGAAAUACUGCCGUGGAUUCUGGAAAAUCGAACCGUUCGACCGCCCGCGCGAUUUAUCAUUUGCCUCGUAAUUCUCAUUAUCGAAAUGCGCGAGAAAGAUUAACGGGUACAACUAAUUCGCAAAGCGAACGUGGUAGCGUGACUUUGACAAUCGGAUUCGGAGUUUGGAAAUAAGAAAACAUUUCUGAAGGAUAAUGGAUGCUUAUAACAAUGUCAUAAUGCGUUCAUAACGGAGGUCCCACCAUUUGCAAAAUUAUAUCACUGCAGAGGUCACGAAACUAUUGGGAAUUGUCAGAUCAAUCGUCAAAUCACAUCUGUGACUUGCACACUAAUCAAAUUAUUUGAAACAUCAAGGACCGUGAUUAAUAGCAUCAACAAACAUCGAUGAAACGUCGAUCAUUUUUUGAGUGAUAUUAAUCAUCCGAGACAAUCGUAGCUGCCAGAUUGCGUGGAUUUAGUAAUUACGAAUGAACGAGUUGUGAUUUAUUGCGAUAAAUAUUAUCCGCGCGAAGAUCCGCACCAAUUCACGAAGUCAAAAAGAGAAUUGAAUUGAAUGCUUGCUUAUAAACUCUAUCUCCCUUUUCCUCUGUUUGCAAAAAACAGAGAGUAUAUUUUCAAUUGCAGUUGCUGCGUCCAAAUAACGUAUGGCGCACGAGCCCGUUUCGGAUAUCGGUUUGCACGAUCGUUGGGAGAAGGCACGUUAAAUCCUGCGUUGCGGUAUCGAAACAAAAUCAGAGGCAACGUAAAUAUUGAACGGACACUGGUCGAGCAUAGCUGCGUAAGAAAUUUAUCACAUAACGUACAAUAGCCGUUACGAGGGAAAACGCAGAAGAAAGGGAAGAAAGGGGGAAACAGUGCGGAAACCGGCGUUGCUGGAUGUACACGGUGGCGGGAACUCGGUGCGAGUGAAGUGCAAUGUGUACCGCGUAAGCUCGGCAAAAAUAGUCCCACUAUCUUUUCACGCCAUAUUGUAAAUAUUUUAAGAUUAUGAAUAUAUAAGGAACGUGUACGAGUACGAAUCCGCCCUCAAGAUCCAGGCUUUCUUCACCUCUGGCCUUUCUCGGUCCUCCUCUUGGCAAGGUUUCCUCUCCUCGUUGCACACCCAAGUGUGACUUCUUUUCGCGGUUUUUUUUUUCUAAACAAAAAGAGGUCGUAAAUUAAACGAGAGAGAAAGGAAGCAUGUACCAAUUGCGCUCAGCAUUCGAAUUUUCGAAAAGGCACAAUAGACCACUUGUGCCCAGCUAAUGUAUUUCGUGCUGUUGCAGUCUGGAAUGUUUCGAUAUUCAUUUACAAUUGCCAAUGAUUUCAGAAUUAAUGAUAAUUGGUAUCUCUUCAAGAUAGAUUUCGCGAGUGCACGUCCACGAGUCUUAUAAUUCGCGAAAAAAGGAUUACAUGUGCAACGGACGCAAAAUGAAAACAUAUUUAACAGUAAUUACACGAAAAACAACACGGGAGGUACAUGACACUCUAUUUCUGCGUAUUUGCAUUUUCUAUUACGUCCGCAUUAAAUCCACACCGCACUGCGGGCUGCUUUUUCACGCAGCAGUAGUAACAGCCCUCAUUAUUCAGCCAUUAGACUGUCGACAUGCCGGAAGCGGAUCGCGAAGUACGAAGGAACCGUCGAAAAACCGGCCUACAAAAAUCAAUAUAUAAUUGUAGCCUGAUCAUCGCAAUUUUCCGAUUGUCCUGUUUUCUGUCGAUGCGAUUCUCGCGGAUCCCAAAAAAUCUAAAAUUAUGAAAAUGCGGCGAGAUUGCUCGCUCUCUUUCUCCCUAUCUCUAUUUUUCUCUCUCAAUAUGCGGUCUCGAUAUCCCAUUUUAUGGAAUGCGGUCGUUUGUAUGGCAAUCGUGUGCGCAAUUCUCGAGCUUCCGUCGCGAAACGCCCGCGUUGCUACACGCGACACGACCCGAUCCGUAAUCAGAUCGUAAACGGCAGGAACGCUGCAUUAACGGCCGGUCUGCUGCCUCCGGGGCGUUUUUUCCCGCCCCCGAAUAGCCCCGAAAUUCGAUUGCACCGCAAUUACCCUAUAUUUGCACGCGGCGCGCGCUCUCUGCGUAUCAAAAUGAUAUUGGAAAAAGGAAGAAAAAAAGCCGCUCGCAAAUCUCGCCUGCACGACGCGCCGCGCCGUCAGAGGCGACGCAACAAUUUUACGCGCGCGCGGGAUGCAUUUUGCGUCCGUAAUUCCAUUUGCAUGUUAUAUCUCUUUCGUCAGCGAUACUCCUGUGCAGCGAUCUACGACGGACGUUUUAACAUGCUAUGUACGCUUGAUCGAGACAGUGCCGGUCAGAUAUUAAUAUGCAUAACAACGUGGCGCGAUUGAACACGCGGCGGCACGCCGGUGCAUUAUCUCGUGGCAUCGUUAGCGGCUACAUUGUCGGGAACCAGGCCAUCGCAAACGUAACAGGCAACGUCACGGUAACGAUCGUAAUCGAUUACCGAGGGGAAACUGUUCUUUCUGCGUGGGCAAUAGACGAAAAUGACGGCCACUUCGCCUCGUCUCUGUUCCGAGUCCUCUUUAGAUCCGUUGCAGCCCCGCUGCGAACCGGCGCGCUCGUCGGUAAGGGGAUGUAACUGGCGCAUUAUGAAAAAUCGAGUCCUUGAAUCCGUCCGUAGGUCUUCCCCCGUGGUCCAGCCACGAUGAAAUCGCUUUCAAUCAACGAGGAUAACCGCGCGAAUGAUAUCCGUUAUUAUUAAUAAAAUUCUUUAUUAACCGUUAUUGUUAAUAAAGAAUUUUAUUACUAAUAAUGGUUAUAUUUUGUGUUAUAAGCUAAGGUGGGGCGAAUUAUAACAUUGACGCGGUUAAUGUACUUUUAUGACUUAUAAUAUGUCAUCGAAGCGCGCAUAAAAUGCAUUUUAACUUGCCCAUUUACCUUGGAAGACGUCAGUUAUAUCUCAUAAUACGUCUUGGCGAUGCAGGCAGUUUCGCAGCGAUAACAAGGCGCGAUUGAGAUCAGAUCCGUUUCAUUCAGGCGCCGCGAGCUCGCCGCGCGAUCUUGGACUCCAAGCUGGACCCUGACAGAAUCCUGAAAAAAUCGCAUUUAUCACGAAUUCGAGCGUUCCACCAUUGAAUUGACGUUUGCACUGAUGCAUCGUUUUCCGUUUGCAACAAGCGAAUCGACUAGAAUGAAAUAGAAUUAGGUUUUGUCGUUUUUCUCGGCAUCGCCAAAUCCAGUUUGACAGAAGAGCGACUUUGAUUGCAGCUUAUUUGUGCUGAUGAAUGGAGCGGCUACGCGGCUCACCGGUCUGAUUAAAUUACGUAAAGCGCGGAAGCGCACUUUAUGACGCUAGUUAUAAUAGAUAAUAUAACGCGAUAGCCGGCAAAUAGAGCGCGUAAUUCAGGCCAACCGAUUCAAUCGAAAUAGUUAUUAUUACGGUGUUAUAGUAAUCCUACUCGCACGGAAACAGACUCUUAGGUAAAUCAACACAUAAUGCAUUAGCGUACGCGAAUGAGGCGGCCUCGAUUCGAAAAAGAAAUUAGCCAUUAGAAUGCCGUCGCUAAAAGAGAACUGUUCCUAUAUCAAACAAAUUGGAAAAGAAAAAACUUCAAUAAUUUCGCUCUCUUCCUGCUUCGCGUGGUUUAUUCCCAAUAAAAAGGUACUUAUAGGAAACUCUCUCUCCUUUUCUCUAUUUGAUCGAAACGAAAUGAUACCUGGUUUUGAAAGACACGAUUCCUACUAUGCAUUUCGUAUAAUCGGAUCAAGUAAAAGAUCAUAAUAUCCGGUACAUGUAACUGUUCUGAAAUAUUACAUUUGUGGCAAUACAGUAUUUCCGCCAGCGCUCUUCUAUUAUUGAUAUCCUUUGAAAAACCGAUCUUUUUUACGAUUCAUAUAAAGUGGACAAUCAUUAAAAUCGAUCGAGUAGGCAACUUAUAUCUGCCGGUGAUCUCGCCAGGCGUGUUCUAAAUGUGGAUCAACCUAUUUUCUCCUUUCGUUAGACUCGUAGAUUAUUUUCAAUCGGGCCACGGUAAUAAAAGAGGGUCUCUUUUUAGCGAGCACUUAUCGUCGUUUAAUUCAGUACACGUGUGUGCGGUCGAGACGUUUUUAUAAAACUUUCAAUAUAAACACGAACGUUCUCACGAUCUAUUACGUUCAAUACAGGCUUCAUGAACAAAUCAUAAACUAUUCAGAAUCAUGAAUUGAUCGCCUUGCCACGUCAAUUACGACAAUUACGCAACAACAAUCGGAAUCUCGACUGCACAUCCAACCGUCAUCAUGUGCGGAGCCAAACAAUCGAAGGCCGCGGCGGCGGAUCAAACGUGGGCGCACCGCUGAUUUAAUUAAACCGUUAUUUCUAGUGUAAUACGCAGGAGUUGAGGAGGUGAAGGAUGCUGGGGCACCUUCCAGGAGAGAGUCGCAUUGCGAGGCACGCGAGCGUGCACGAUACGAUUUGGUGGUGCAUAACGUAGUCUCACGGUGGAUAACUGUAUCCUCGCGCGCCACGGCCGAGCGCGAACGGCCGUUGUGAAGUCUCGUGUGAAAGGGACGCUGACGAGGUCUAUUGGAAAUCUCCCCGACAAUGGGGAUAACGGGGAUCCAUUUCGCGCGUACACAUACACGACAUACAAGCCGUCAUAACGAUACACCCCGCCGGGAUGCGACCGAGACGGAAGACGCGAGAGGCGCGCGCGCGCGCGCUUUCGUUGAAAAGGGGGUUGCUCCCUCGUCGGAUGGACCGAGAUUGCACCGGCCGAGAGAUUCUAGCAAACCGGACGGUUCCACAACGCCGCCUCCGAGGGAAUAACUGGCGCGGAUAUCCGCGGAUGUCCUCUUUUCUUCGGCGUCAUCGCGACGGAAAUGUAUCACGCGCGCAUCGUUGUUUGAUUGAUCUUUCUGCUGCCGUGUUAUUCCUGCAAAGUGAAAUGUUUGUAGCAUUUGGCGAAAAUAAUACUGCACUCUUUCGUACAGCGAACUGGACUAUUGAUAUUUGGAGGUACUUACUUUGAGAUCUUAAUCAAAAGCGAAGAUGAAGAAAUAUUUCCUGAAGCCUGAAAUUCAAGUUCCCUUUAAUUAACCAGCAUGUGAGAGGGGAAUCUCCGGUUUCAUCGUAUCCUGAAUACACGGCAAGAUAGUCACGCAGUGGAAAUCAUAAUUUCAACGUGCUCAAGCAGUUAGUUCGCACGUGGUCUUGCGGGCGACGGUGCGCAAAACUGAAACUGGAAACACCUCGACGCGCCAUAUAGAGCAAUCAAGGCGGCGGUAGAUUCGUUGUAAAGUUCCCGCUUUUGUAAAUUCAAGGCGGCGAACUUUUCAUCCUUUCAUCCGGAGAGGCUCGCCGUCAAGUGAGACGUCGAGCGUAUUCGAAAUGGAGAGAAACAAGUUUCGCGGAGUAUCUUUUGCUAUUAAAAUCGAUACUCGCUCGCUCGCCCGAAGAGUUAGCAACCAACUCUGAUACAACUGAUAUUCCGCGUCGGAUGGUUAUCAAUUUCGGGCUGAUCGAAACGGCGACGAGGCAACUAUUAUUUUCCGUUAGGACAGAUUGCAGGCUGCUUGCCGUUCUCGAUAUAAAAAUAUCGAAAUGGAAACAGAACUGUCAAACUGGAACGUAAAAACUUUAUGUAAUACAGAAUCUGGCCAUCAAUUAUGGACACGCUGCAUUUUACGCACACGAGAUCGAGUUUUACGAUCACUUUUAUAUCCGUGCAGUCAUAAAAAACUAAUUGUAAACGACGCAUCUGCAUGUGCUAAAAUCGAAUGUUUCAUUAUAUUGAACUCACACUGAAAAGUCUCGUUGUAAAUUCCGAGCGUGCAUAUUUGCAUUAUACAUAUUUAUCGAUUUCCCUUAUCGUCUAUCCAUAUUGACGAUAAGCUCGACAGCAGAGAAACGCUGCGAAAUAUGCCUUUUUAUCAUCCUUUUGCAGUGAGAGGGUAAAUCUUCAUCGCGUUAUCAGCUUUACGCGGCGCGAGCUUCGGCAUAAACUCUCCUCGCGGCACGCCAAUGGAUUUGGACGUCGACUCGAUCUGCACGGAAGACAUUGAAUAUUUCACCGUGUGAGGCCGGGACAGGGAGCAUGAUGCCUAAUAAAUUCAUGUCACAUGACCGCUUCCUUCUGCAACGGGCAACUUUCCGCCGGGUGAAUUUUCAAUAUCUCAGGAAACCAAAAAGAGGACGCCCGCGUAUGAUGGAGACCUCAAACGCGAUUUCAUUCGAAUACAAUAUCCGUGCAGUUUUAUAGUUUUAUCCAUCCCGUCGUGUUCCGCGAAGCUAAACGUUCCUGUUAACCAUCUACGUGACUUCCGAAUGGACGUUUCGACGAUCGAAGCCACCGAAGCUUCACGCAAGGCGGUAACACGAGAGCUUCGACGGAAACCUUCGACGUUUGUUAAUGAUUUUUGUAAUAACAUUCUGCAGCGCCGAUGCAGCCGACUGGAUUUAUGAGCGAGUCUCACGCAGCAUCCGUGCAAUUUUCCUCGGCAGAUUCAACCGUGCAACCGAGCGUAAUGUCUUCCUAGCGCAUCGGAAAAGUAGCUGCUACCAUCAUGUAAUCAGACGCACACGAGGUUCUACGUUGUAACGUUUGGUGCAUGCUAAUGAUCGCGUGCGACCGUGUGUGAGUAGCAACACGAAUCUGUCCUACGUUCCGAUUAAUAUGCACGUCCUGUCCGAACGAUUAUGAACCUUUUUAACUCUCUUAUUCCCGUUGAAGUCCUGUGGUUUAUUGUAUUGGAUUUUUAUAUUUGGUUCGUUUAAAAGAUAUGAUAUCAUGGAACACGUUAUACCCAAGUAACACAGUCUGACUAUAUUUGCUGCAGCAGAAAAAAUAUAGCUAGCAUUACGUCUUGCCUUAAGGGGGGAGCCUGCUUUAGAACGCU